This 2745-nucleotide long non-coding RNA is filed under the name Zea mays. Its description in RNAcentral is "long non-coding RNA (ZMAY_LNC005629)". Lineage: Eukaryota; Viridiplantae; Streptophyta; Magnoliopsida; Poales; Poaceae. The record is from RNAcentral.
AAAACUCCAACUCUAUCGGUGCAUGUACUAAGUUAUGUUCCAAUGAAAGCUACCCCACCAAAAAAAGUUCGUUUUGAGGCUAAUAAUCCAGAAAUUAAUCAAAGCAGGGCAGUAUUGAUCCAAGUAGUCAGGUUACUCAGGUAGGGGAAAUGAACAAGGCAUGCAUAUACAAUGCAUGUGCAGCAAGCAAGUAACAACUGAUGAUGGAUAACAUGUGAACUGCAACCUCUAGCCUUGAUUCCUUUUCUUGGGCCAAGAAUCAUGCCAGUUCACAGAAACUAUGCACAAAUUACCUCUUCCUCCAUGGACGCCGAUGACUUGGCUCCAUCACGGCCUGCCAUCUCUUCCUCCUCUUGUCUCCCUCGUCCGCUGCUGCUAGAACGAAGCGCUCUGUAAACGUUUCAGUGGCUCAAGAGGAGGGAAACAAACGAGUUAAGAAGGUGACAGGAACAAUCGGCAUGGGAGAAGAGGGGCGUUGGGCAGUCUUUGAAGCAGGACCUUGUGGCGCUCUCUGCAGGUGGAGGGAGGCGAGGGGCGAGGAGAAUCCAGGCGCGUGUGCUGAGAGGGGCAAGCCUGUUUCUGUUUAUAUAGAGCUCGUGUACGGCCAUACGAGGAGGAGAGAUCACACACAGCUGGGGCAACAGCACAGGAUGGGAUCGCCUGCCUUCUCCCUCCGAACCCGAAGGUAGGAGUGCCCAGUUAGCUGCUCUCCACCGUUAAAGGAAUCGAACGGUUGGCAGCAGAUUGACAGUAUUUCUCUGCUUUGAUGCUGGAACAGAAUAAAUCAAGUAUACAUACACAUAAACAAGGCCAAUAAAUUGGGAUCAAACUAGUUCAUUCCAGCAGCAAGUAUGGAGUUGAAACCAUUUAAAUAAACAAAAAAAAUAGUACCAAGAUUUAAUUGAAACUAAAUGCAGGCUGAGAUUGACUGCAUGCUCGUAUUUUUAUCUCCAAAAGAUAUAUAGAACAAUAAUACAUUUAGUUCAAAAUACAGCAAGACAUUUAGUUCUAGUUUUAGCUCGUGGCCGUUUACAAGAUGACUUAUUUUACCUUAUUUUCCGCUGACCCUCUCUUGCACAAAUAAAUCUAAAUGAUGUCACUAUUCCAACAGAUUUUCUUUUGUUUGCAUAUCUCUUUUUAACCUCAAAACCGUGUUACUCCAUAUGUAUUACAAAACUUCCAAGACUCUACCUCAUCCUGAAACUUCAUGCCAAUUUCAGGCACCAUAACAGGAAGUACGCCAUGUCUAAAACAUCAAGAGCAGGGUCUCAAUUUUCCUUAUGAGCAAUAAAACAAUAGAAGAACAACAAACAUGAGAGUUCUAUCUUUGACAUGCUGCCUCCGGGAUCAUCUCCUACCUCUCCAUUCUUAACAAGAGGUGUAUAUUGUCUAAAAACAGAUAACAAGCUAGCAGUUUGCACAAUAUUAUUGUUCUUCGUAAACUAUCAAAAAUCAGAAGAAGAAUAAGUAUGGGUGUUGUAUUAUUUGCCUUUUGUCUUCUUGAUAAUUCUUGUUCGGAUCUUCUUCCAUUAGGGAUGUUAUAUCUCAAUGUGAGAGAGAGAAAAGGAAGAAGAGAUGAUGCUCAGGUUGCAGAAUGGAGGUUUCUGGUGCCAAAACAGAGCAAGGAGGCAUUUUCCCUCCAUACGGCAAUAAAUGCAGGUCGUUUCCCUCCACUUCGUCUGUUUCCCGCGGCAUCAUGUUUCGAUUCAUCCAACCUUUAGAGGGCGAAGGCAGACGAUCCCAAUCCAACAGCACAGACUCCAUGCAUAAUCGCAUAUGGGUCCUAGUCGACACGGAGGAUCCUCAUCCCGCAAGAAUGCUACAGUUAGGCCCCAUUAAAUUCAAGGGUAUUCAAUGAAUAUCCAUUAUUUUUUGCAAAAAAAUUUCGAUAUAUACAUGUAUGUAGUGUAUAUACAUGGAAAUAGAAAAUCAAUCAAAUAAAUGAAGAAAUUCUGCUAAUUUGAACCAAAAUAUCUCCUUCCUACAUCUCAUACCUAACUAGCUCAAUAGAUUCUCGUGGCCCAUGUGGCCAUGAGACCCAACGAAGUGACAAAGUCCACCUUAUUACCUCAUAGCAAAAAAUCUCUAAACUAUAUUGUAGUCGCACCACGACAGAGCCACCAAAGCGCCAGCCGCCAAGUCAUGGUCGUGUCUUGCCGCCCCAUGUGCCCACAUGGAGACACUAGCACUUUUGUCGCGCCACCGCGUCAUCGCUAGGUGCCCAUACCUAACUGGCUAAUUGUUGUCGUCGCGUUGCACCUGACCUCAUUGCUGUACCGACCGUCGUCUGAGGCUUCGAUCCGUCGCAGUCAGGGCACCAUCACGUGCAAGUACAAACCGCCAUGGGGCAGGGUCCCAUCAUGUCAAUGUCCAAGCUCGCCUGGCUGGUGGCCACCCGAUCGUGACCUCUCCUGCUUGACCGCUUCCAGUACUUGGCUGCAGGUGAAGCCAGUAAGAGUUCCUUCGAUGUAUAAUAAUUGUGUAUCAAAAUUGAGACAUUCCAUUGCUCUGGGCUCUGCAAAACUCCAACUCUAUCGAUGCGUGUACUAAGUUAAGUUCCAAUGAAAACUACCCCACCAAAAAAAGUUCGUUUUGAGGCUAAUAAUCCAGAAAUUAAUCAAAGCAGGGCAGUAUUGAUCCAAGUAGUCAGGUAGGGGAAAUGAACAAGGCAUGCAUAUACAAUGCAUGUGCAGCAAGCAAGUAACAACUGAUGAUGGAUAACAUGUGAACUGCAACCUCUAGCCU